RNAcentral lists this ribosomal RNA (287 nucleotides) under uncultured bacterium. Its description in RNAcentral is "partial 16S ribosomal RNA". It matches the Rfam family "Bacterial small subunit ribosomal RNA", at positions 773 to 1060 of the family's 1533-position model. The record is from RNAcentral.
GUGGAUUAGAUACCCUAGUAGUCCACGCCGUAAACGAUGGAUGCUAGCCGUUGGUAAGCAUGCUUAUCAGUGGCGCAGCUAACGCAUUAAGCAUCCCGCCUGGGGAGUACGGCCGCAAGGUUGAAACUCAAAGGAAUUGACGGGGGCCCGCACAAGCGGUGGAGCAUGUGGUUUAAUUCGACGCAACGCGCAGAACCUUACCAGGGUUUGACAUCCCGUGCCACGCUCAGAGAUGGGCGGUCCCCGCAAGGGGCGCGGAGACAGGUGCUGCACGGCCGUCGACCGCU